AUUGCCACUUCCAAUCCUUGUAAGAUCGCCAGAGCCAGGUCUCAGAUCUCUUCCAGUGCUUGUUCGGUUAAGUUGGUUGAUUCUCCUCUUCACAAUGCUAGGUUUACCUCUAUAGUAAAAACCUGUCAAAUCAAGUGCUUCACUUGCCACAGCACCCAAAACAGCCAAAACAUUGGCAGACUUGCUCUUUGCGAACUUAUG
RNAcentral lists this unclassified non-coding RNA (201 nucleotides) under Hevea brasiliensis (rubber tree). The record is from RNAcentral. Lineage: Eukaryota; Viridiplantae; Streptophyta; Magnoliopsida; Malpighiales; Euphorbiaceae.